Molecule: unclassified non-coding RNA, 423 nt
Filed under: soil metagenome
Description: partial contains 5.8S ribosomal RNA, internal transcribed spacer 2, and large subunit ribosomal RNA
Rfam family: 5.8S ribosomal RNA (bases 1-120)
Source: RNAcentral
GAUGAAGAACGUAGCGAAAUGCGAUAAGUAGUGUGAAUUGCAGAAUUCCGUGAAUCAUCGAAUCUUUGAACGCACAUUGCGCCUUCUGGUAUUCCGGAAGGCAUGCCUGUUCGAGAGUCAUUAACAACCGUUUCGAUCCCUUUCUUUCAGAAAUUACAAAGAGGAAAAGGGUUUGGUUAUGGUGGAGGAGGGAAAGGGAGCGUUUAGCCUGUAAAAAGAGGCUGUGUUCCGCCUCCCCCCCAAAAUUGUACAGGCGGUCGUGUGCGCCCACGCAUCGAGGUGUUGUAAAAGCUGCCACGGCACUUUUCACCUGUGCAGUGCGAGAUUGGCCAGCCGGUUUAAAAACCCCUCCAAACAAUCAAAGGUUGACCUCGGAUCAGGUAGGGAUACCCGCUGAACUUAAGCAUAUCAAUAAGCGGAGGA